UACGUAGGUGGCGAGCGUUGUCCGGAUUUACUGGGUGUAAAGGGCGUGUAGGCGGGGAAACAAGUCAGAUGUGAAAUCCCGGGGCUUAACCCCGGAGCUGCAUCUGAAACUGUUUUUCUUGAGUGCUGGAGAGGAAAGUGGAAUUCCCAGUGUAGCGGUGAAAUGCGUAGAGAUUGGGAGGAACGCCAGUGGCGAAGGCGGCUUUCUGGACAGUAACUGACGCUGAGGAGCGAAAGCGUGGGGAGCAAACAGG
Molecule: ribosomal RNA, 253 nt
Filed under: uncultured bacterium
Lineage: Bacteria
Description: partial 16S ribosomal RNA
Rfam family: Bacterial small subunit ribosomal RNA
Source: RNAcentral